UAAGCUUUUCUAUAAACUGUACCAGAACAUCUACUUAAGUUCUUUAAUUCCUUCAAAUAAAGAAAUUUAGUAGAGUUCUGGUAC
This is a long non-coding RNA of Octodon degus (degu), 84 nucleotides long. RefSeq lists it as uncharacterized. The record is from RefSeq and is a predicted model, not a curated record. The transcript has 3 exons. Lineage: Eukaryota; Metazoa; Chordata; Mammalia; Rodentia; Octodontidae.